Molecule: transfer RNA, 67 nt
Filed under: Gonioctena olivacea
Lineage: Eukaryota; Metazoa; Arthropoda; Insecta; Coleoptera; Chrysomelidae
Description: tRNA-Asn
Source: RNAcentral
UUAAUUGAAACCAAAUUAAGAGGUAUAUCACUGUUAAUGAUAAAAUUGAGAAUAUUCUCCAAUUAAA